RNAcentral lists this RNase P RNA (301 nucleotides) under Lutibacter sp. B1. RNAcentral's name for it is "Bacterial RNase P class A". It matches the Rfam family "Bacterial RNase P class A". Rfam says of the family: Ribonuclease P (RNase P) is a ubiquitous endoribonuclease, found in archaea, bacteria and eukarya as well as chloroplasts and mitochondria. Its best characterised activity is the generation of mature 5'-ends of tRNAs by cleaving the 5'-leader elements of precursor-tRNAs. Lineage: Bacteria; Pseudomonadati; Bacteroidota; Flavobacteriia; Flavobacteriales; Flavobacteriaceae. The record is from Rfam by way of RNAcentral.
UAAGUAGGUCGUCUUAUCGCUUCAUAAGAAGAGGAAAGUCCGGACACCACAGAGUAGCAUAACGGAUAACAUCCGUCCGGUGAAAAUCGAGGACAAGUGCAACAGAAAGCAAGUACAGUUCGGCUGUAGUGAAAACAGGUAAACUCUAUGCGGUGCAAUGCCAUGUAUAUUGAAAUUUUAGAGUUACUCGCUCUAUUUCAAGGGGUAGGCAGAUUGAGCUAUAAAGUAAUUUAUAGCCUAGAUAAAUGAUAAGAAUUUACUUCGGUAAAUACAAAAUCCGGCUUACAGACCUGCUUAAUUU